Molecule: long non-coding RNA, 217 nt
Filed under: Zostera marina
Lineage: Eukaryota; Viridiplantae; Streptophyta; Magnoliopsida; Alismatales; Zosteraceae
Description: long non-coding RNA (ZMAR_LNC003595)
Source: RNAcentral
UUGGCACGCAGAUAACCUACAGUUGUACUUUUAAACAAUUAAGUAGGAUUAUACUACUCUUGUAAUAGUUUGAACUACUUAACUAAUAUGUUGUUUAGUCAACUAUUAUUAAUAAUCAGAACACUCAGAAAACAUUCCAUAUAUUAAUUGAACAUGAAUUACAGAGGAAUGUAAAUUACAAGGAUAAGAUAGAGGAUUAAUCUAUUUAGGAGGGGGG